RNAcentral lists this unclassified non-coding RNA (336 nucleotides) under soil metagenome. Its description in RNAcentral is "partial contains 5.8S ribosomal RNA, internal transcribed spacer 2, and large subunit ribosomal RNA". The stretch from base 1 to 120 matches the Rfam family "5.8S ribosomal RNA", at positions 35 to 154 of the family's 154-position model. The record is from RNAcentral.
GAUGAAGAACGUAGCGAAAUGCGAUAAGUAAUGUGAAUUGCAGAAUUCAGUGAAUCAUCGAAUCUUUGAACGCACAUUGCGCCCGCCAGUAUUCUGGCGGGCAUGCCUGUUCGAGCGUCAUUUCAACCAUCGAGCCCCAGGCUUGUGUUGGGGACCUGCGGCUGCCGCAGGCCCUGAAAACCAGUGGCGGGCUCGCUGUCACACCGGGCGUAGUAGAUUUUAUCUCGCUCAGGGCGUGCUGCGGGUUCCGGCCGUUAAAAAGCCUUUUUUACCCAAGGUUGACCUCGGAUCAGGUAGGAAGACCCGCUGAACUUAAGCAUAUCAAUAAGCGGAGGA